Oncorhynchus keta (chum salmon) is the source of this 398-nucleotide long non-coding RNA. RefSeq lists it as uncharacterized. The transcript is spliced from 3 exons. Lineage: Eukaryota; Metazoa; Chordata; Actinopteri; Salmoniformes; Salmonidae. The record is from RefSeq and is a predicted model, not a curated record.
GCCCACGAUAUGCAACAGGUGGUUUUGGAAUUCCCAUUGUUAGCCUCUCCUGCCCACGAUAUGCAACAGGUGGUUUGGAAUUCCCAUUGUUAGCCUGUUCUGCCCACGAUAUACAACAGGUGGUUUGGAAUUCCCAUUGUUAGCCUCUCCUGCCCACGAUAUACAACAGGUGGUUUGGAAUUCCCAUUGUUAGCCUGUUCUGCCCACGAUAUACAACAGGUGGUUUGGAAUUCCCAUUGUUAGCCUCUCCUGCCCACGAUAUACAACAGGUGGUUUGGAAUUCCCAUUGUUAGCCUCUCCUGCCCACGAUAUACAACAGGUGGUUUGGAAUUCCCAUUGUUAGCCUCUCCUGCCCACGAUAUACAACAGGUGGUUUGGAAUUCCCAUUGUUAGCCUCU